UACGAAGGGAGCUAGCGUUGUUCGGAAUUACUGGGCGUAAAGCGCGCGCAGGCGGUCUUCCAAGUCAGUGGUGAAAGCCCGGAGCUCAACUCCGGAACUGCCAUUGAAACUGUUGGACUUGAGGAUGAGAGAGGUGAGUGGAAUUCCCAGUGUAGAGGUGAAAUUCGUAGAUAUCGGGAGGAACACCUGUGGCGAAAGCGGCUCACUGGACCACAACUGACGCUGAGGCGCGAAAGCUAGGGGAGCAAACAGG
RNAcentral lists this ribosomal RNA (253 nucleotides) under uncultured bacterium. RNAcentral's name for it is "partial 16S ribosomal RNA". It matches the Rfam family "Bacterial small subunit ribosomal RNA", at positions 524 to 776 of the family's 1533-position model. The record is from RNAcentral.